CCGCUCCGUCUGAACCACGAAGGAGGCGCGGGUCGGGUGAUCACCCGACCCGCGCCUCCUCGUCUCCCGGCGUCGCGG
RNAcentral lists this microRNA precursor (78 nucleotides) under Frigoribacterium faeni. Its description in RNAcentral is "microRNA MIR1846". It matches the Rfam family "MIR1846 microRNA precursor family", at positions 1 to 86 of the family's 110-position model. The record is from RNAcentral. Lineage: Bacteria; Bacillati; Actinomycetota; Actinomycetes; Micrococcales; Microbacteriaceae.